This 450-nucleotide ribosomal RNA is filed under the name uncultured bacterium. RNAcentral's name for it is "partial 16S ribosomal RNA". It matches the Rfam family "Bacterial small subunit ribosomal RNA", at positions 354 to 796 of the family's 1533-position model. The record is from RNAcentral.
GUAGGGAAUCUUCCACAAUGGACGAAAGUCUGAUGGAGCAACGCCGCGUGAGUGAAGAAGGUCUUCGGAUCGUAAAACUCUGUUGUUAGAGAAGAACGUGCAUGAUAGUAACUGAUCAUGUAAUGACGGUAUCUAACCAGAAAGCCACGGCUAACUACGUGCCAGCAGCCGCGGUAAUACGUAGGUGGCAAGCGUUGUCCGGAUGUAUUGGGCGUAAAGGGAACGCAGGCGGUUUUUUAAGUCUGAUGUGAAAGCCUUCGGCUUAACCGAAGAAUAGCAUUGGAAACUGGAAGACUUGAGUGCAGAAGAGGAGGGUGGAAUUCCAUGUGUAGCGGUGAAAUGCGUAGAUAUAUGGAGGAACACCAGUGGCGAAAGCGGCUCUCUGGUCUGUAACUGACGCUGAGGUUCGAAAGCGUGGGUAGCAAACAGGAUUAGAAACCCCUGUAGUCC